Molecule: ribosomal RNA, 753 nt
Filed under: uncultured bacterium
Lineage: Bacteria
Description: bacterial SSU rRNA
Rfam family: Bacterial small subunit ribosomal RNA
Source: RNAcentral
AGAGUUUGAUCCUGGCUCAGAACGAACGCUGGCGGCGUGCUUAACACAUGCAAGUCGAACGGAAAGGCCCUGCUUUUGUGGGGUGCUCGAGUGGCGAACGGGUGAGUAACACGUGAGUAACCUGCCCUUGACUUUGGGAUAACUUCAGGAAACUGGGGCUAAUACCGGAUAGGAGCUCCUGCUGCAUGGUGGGGGUUGGAAAGUUUCGGCGGUUGGGGAUGGACUCGCGGCUUAUCAGCUUGUUGGUGGGGUAGUGGCUUACCAAGGCUUUGACGGGUAGCCGGCCUGAGAGGGUGACCGGCCACAUUGGGACUGAGAUACGGCCCAGACUCCUACGGGAGGCAGCAGUGGGGAAUAUUGCACAAUGGGCGGAAGCCUGAUGCAGCAACGCCGCGUGCGGGAUGACGGCCUUCGGGUUGUAAACCGCUUUCGCCUGUGACGAAGCGUGAGUGACGGUAAUGGGUAAAGAAGCACCGGCUAACUACGUGCCAGCAGCCGCGGUGAUACGUAGGGUGCGAGCGUUGUCCGGAUUUAUUGGGCGUAAAGGGCUCGUAGGUGGUUGAUCGCGUCGGAAGUGUAAUCUUGGGGCUUAACCCUGAGCGUGCUUUCGAUACGGGUUGACUUGAGGAAGGUAGGGGAGAAUGGAAUUCCUGGUGGAGCGGUGGAAUGCGCAGAUAUCAGAGGAACACCAGUGGCGAAAGCGGUUCUCUGGGCCUUUCCUGACGCUGAGGAGCGAAAGCGUGGGGAGCGAAC